AUCCCUGAAGAAACAUCAAACUUGGUACUGUUAUUGCUACUGUGUGGUGAAACUUUCAUACAUGAUGUUACAUAUAUUCCUGACGAAGUUUUUGUUCUUAGAUCAGAAAAUCUAGACAGUUGUAUUAUACAUAACUGUUGUUCAGCUUUUGGUAGUGUAUAAAUUGGGAAAGUUGUUUACUUCAUUUCUUGCAUCGUAAAGGCCAUGAGUAUUCUAGAACAGUGAGGUGAAACAAAUGAAACAGACUAGAACAGUGAGAUAAAACGGAAUUCAGACCUGCUUGCUCAAACUUUUUAGAUAGUUCAUCUGCAGGGAGAAGCAUUGGUGAACCAUCAAACAUCUGGAAACGAACGAUGUCAACUGUUAGCUAUUUGUGGCUGUCCAGGAAAGUUUCAUGCCACAUUUAUGAUCAGAGCUUCUACAAUCGACUCUUCUAACAGGAGUAAUCAAAGAGUCAAAAUUAGGAGAUGUUACCUGCCUCUUGAUCGGGCAUCAACUAGUUGGUGAGCCUGCACAGCUACAUUGUAUUUGACCUGUUACAUGAACAAAUCAGCAUAACACACAGGGUGGAUCCUCAAGAUGUUAGUGUUACUGUCAAUAAUCUUUGAAUUUUUUGUUUGAGUAAAGCUAGGAUCUUCUCCAAAGAGGUUGAAACAAAGAUCAUGAGAUAGGAAUAAUCCCA
This is a long non-coding RNA of Brachypodium distachyon (stiff brome), 682 nucleotides long. RefSeq lists it as uncharacterized. The record is from RefSeq and is a predicted model, not a curated record. Lineage: Eukaryota; Viridiplantae; Streptophyta; Magnoliopsida; Poales; Poaceae. The transcript is spliced from 2 exons.